AUGGCAUCUCUUCGGUGCUACAGGAUCGACUCUGUGUUUUACUGUUUGGUCUGUAAGAAAAUUGGUAUGAAUUCCAGAUCCAACAAGGAAAGGCUUCUGAUCUUCAGAAUGAGUGAGCGAAGGAAUAUGAAAGUUGAAUUACAGGUUUAUAAAAAGGAAGCAUAUGACAUAUUCGACCCAGCAGUGAAGAUUCUCCACAGGUCUCCCGCGGGCGUGGGCGGGUGGGAACCGGCGGAGUGUCCGGCCUCCAUCUUUGGCACCGAGAAAGACAAAGUCAGCUGUUCAUUUUACUUCAAAGUUGGAGCAUGUCGUCAUGGAGACAGGUGCUCUCGGUUGCACAGUAAACCGACGUUUAGCCAGACCAUUGCCCUCUUGAACAUUUCCCGUAACCCUCAAAACUCUUCCCAGUCGGCCGACGGCUUGCGCUGUGCCGUGAGCGGUGUUGAGAUGCAGCAACACUGUGAUGAAUGCUUUGAGGAGAUUUGUACAGAAAUGGAGGAGAAGUAUGGGGAAGCUGAGGAGACGAACGUCUGUGACAAGCUGGGAGGGAGACCACGUGGUGGGGAACGUGCACGGCAAGUUUGGCCGUGAGGCAGAUGCGGAAAAGGCUGUGACUGACUUGAACAACCGUUGGUUUAACGGACAGCCGAGCCACGCCGAGCCCUCCCCUGAGACGGACUUCAGAGAGGCCUGCCGCCGUCAGGAUGAGACCGGAGAAUGCUCCCGGGGCGGCUCCUGCGGCUUCGUGUAUUUGAAGCCCAUUUCCGGAGAGCCGCGGCGGGAGCUGUACGGGCGGCGUCGCAAGAAGCGUAGAUCAAGAUGCCGAUCCCGGGAGCGUCGUUCUGGGUCUAGAGACCGUGGUCGUGGCGGUGGCGGUGGCCCAGGCCGCGGCGGCGGGAGCGUGACAGGAGGCGGUCGAGAGGUCGUGAAGGAUCUGGGCGAUUCUGAGCCAUCC
RNA transcript from Mandrillus leucophaeus (drill), 955 nucleotides. It is a transcript of the gene named splicing factor U2AF 35 kDa subunit-like, with no coding region annotated. The record is from RefSeq and is a predicted model, not a curated record. Lineage: Eukaryota; Metazoa; Chordata; Mammalia; Primates; Cercopithecidae. The transcript has 3 exons.